This 397-nucleotide ribosomal RNA is filed under the name uncultured bacterium. RNAcentral's name for it is "partial 16S ribosomal RNA". It matches the Rfam family "Bacterial small subunit ribosomal RNA", at positions 360 to 774 of the family's 1533-position model. The record is from RNAcentral.
AAUAUUUCACAAUGUGCGAAAGCCUGAUGCAGCAACGCCGCGUGAGUGAUGAAUGCCUUCGGGACGUAAAGCACUUUGACCAGGGACGAUAAUGACAGUACCUGAAAAACAAGCCACGCCUAACUACAUGCCAGCAGCCGCGGUAAUACGUAGGUGGCGAGCGUUGUCCGGAAUUACUGGGCGUAAAGGAUGCGUAGGUGGAUACUUAAGUGGGAAGUGAAAGCCCCGGACUCAACCCGGGAACUGCAUUCCAAACUGGGUAUCUAGAGUGCAGGAGAGGAAAGCGGAAUUCCUAGUGUAGCGGUGAAAUGCGUAGAUAUUAGAAGGAACACCAGUGGCGAAGGCGGCUUUCUGGACUGUAACUGACACUGAGGCAUGAAAGCGUGGGUAGCAAACA